AACGAACGCUGGCGGCAUGCCUAACACAUGCAAGUCGAACGAGACCUUCGGGUCUAGUGGCGCACGGGUGCGUAACGCGUGGGAACCUGCCCUUAGGUUCGGAAUAACUCCCCGAAAGGGGUGCUAAUACCGGAUAGUGUCUUCGGACCAAAGAUUUAUCGCCUUUGGAUGGGCCCGCGUUGGAUUAGCUAGUUGGUAGGGUAAAAGCCUACCAAGGCGACGAUCCAUAGCUGGUCUGAGAGGAUGAUCAGCCACACUGGGACUGAGACACGGCCCAGACUCCUACGGGAGGCAGCAGUGGGGAAUAUUGGACAAUGGGCGAAAGCCUGAUCCAGCAAUGCCGCGUGAGUGAUGAAGGCCUUAGGGUUGUAAAGCUCUUUUACCCGGGAUGAUAAUGACAGUACCGGGAGAAUAAGCUCCGGCCAACUCCGUG
This 433-nucleotide ribosomal RNA is filed under the name uncultured bacterium. Its description in RNAcentral is "partial 16S ribosomal RNA". It matches the Rfam family "Bacterial small subunit ribosomal RNA", at positions 29 to 507 of the family's 1533-position model. The record is from RNAcentral.